Molecule: ribosomal RNA, 254 nt
Filed under: uncultured bacterium
Lineage: Bacteria
Description: partial 16S ribosomal RNA
Rfam family: Bacterial small subunit ribosomal RNA
Source: RNAcentral
UACGGAAGAUCCAAGCGUUAUCCGGAAUUACUGGGCGUAAAGAGUUGCGUAGGUGGCAUUGUAAGCGGGGCAUGAAAGCGUGUGGCUCAACCAUACAGACAUGUUCUGAACUGCAAAGCUAGAGAGCGAGAGAGGUUACUAGAAUUCCUAGUGUAGGAGUGAAAUCCGUAGAUAUUAGGAGGAAUACCGAUGGCGUAGGCAGGUAACUGGCUCGUCUCUGACACUAAGGCACGAAAGCGUGGGUAGCAAACGGG